CCCCGCCCGGCCAGGAUCUCUCAGGCGACCGAUAUAUGCAGAGAACCACGUGGAGGAAAGGCACGCGAGUUUGGAGGGGGUGGAGCACCUGAAUAUGACACGACGGGGCAGCUGGAAGGUGUUGGGAAGACCCUCACGCUGCGCCGUGGGCAGGUGCUCCUGUCUCAGUGGACGGAUGUGUGGAGAGGGGCUUCUUUCUCUUUCUACCGAGCAAGGAUUCCACGCCCUAAGCCCCUGGACCUCAGAGGCCUCUGUGUCUUUUGAAGCUAAGCCCACUCACCGUGGCCUUGGGCUCUCCUCCCACAGGCGUGGCUGCAAAGGGACCCUUGUUGAGGGGCCGCUAAACUCUUCAAGGAAACAGUGCCAGGGUGACAAAGACCACACAGGAGGCUCACACAGGUGCCAGGGUGUCAUGGCUUCUCACAGUUGAGGCUGAACGCCUGGCUUCCCAGUUCCUUCCAGAAAGACCUUCCAGCUUUAGCUCUUACUACCCCGAGGGUGGCAUUUGAACUCCCUUCCCCUACAAAGGCUCUUCAUUUUUUGGCUGCAAGCAGGGCACAGCAAAAGGGCCCUGUGUCCAGGCUGGCUACACUGUCCUGAGUGGCCAACAGCCCACGUGGGGAUGGGUGGGUCCCCGUGGUCGGUGACACGGGCAGCUCCUUCUCUUCCUUGAGCGCUUCUCUUGCCCUCUUCCGGCCUGGCCACUACGGGGCUCACUGGCAAAGCUCAGGUAUCAGUGGGAGGUGUCGCAAGAGUGGGAGUCAGUGGCGUGAGUUUAGAUCCUGGGCCUUUAAGCAAAUGCUCAGAAAAACCAUCCUACCCAGCGCUAAAUACCAAAUGAGUCAGCUUCUGGGUAGUCACUACUGUCCUCCCCCAGAUUCCCUUCUGGGGGCUGCCUCACUCUGGCAGCAACUGAGACCCAGAACCACCCUGUGAUGCUGUUCUAGUCCCUUCUACCAGGGGGCGCUUUCUACUCAGUGACUUUUAGGGGAGGGAGCUGGGGCGGGCCUCAGUGUUCUCUCCCCACCCCCAGUGCUUUAUGUGGCCAUGUUGGAGUUAAGAAGAGACGCUUGUCCUCACACCUUGAUGAUGAGGGCAGCUCCCGCGUACCGCCUCGCUUCCCGAGCCGCCCCUCUGUGCCCCUCUCUAUAGCAGCUGUAAGCUGACGGGGCAUUUCUGAGAACAUCCAGACGCCAGAAGGCAGACUCCGUGCCUUCGUGCCUGUUAGCACGUUCUGGAACCGGCGCCAUGCGGCUUGGCCCACACAUGGGGCAGGUGAGUCCACAGAGAGGGAACAUUUGUUUAUUUGGGCAAACGUGCCGUGUUAGAGUGGUUCUGAGAAGCCGGGCAUGCAGUGGUCCACCCCUGGGGGGCGGGGGGG
Orcinus orca (killer whale) is the source of this 1381-nucleotide long non-coding RNA. RefSeq lists it as uncharacterized. The transcript is spliced from 3 exons. Lineage: Eukaryota; Metazoa; Chordata; Mammalia; Artiodactyla; Delphinidae. The record is from RefSeq and is a predicted model, not a curated record.